RNAcentral lists this ribosomal RNA (460 nucleotides) under uncultured bacterium. Its description in RNAcentral is "bacterial SSU rRNA". It matches the Rfam family "Bacterial small subunit ribosomal RNA", at positions 28 to 501 of the family's 1533-position model. The record is from RNAcentral.
GAUGAACGCUGACAGAAUGCUUAACACAUGCAAGUCGACUGGAAUUCUUCUUCGGAAGAUAGUACGGUGGCGGACGGGUGAGUAACGCGUAAAGAAUUUGCCCUUCAGACUGGGACAACUAACCGAAAGGUUAGCUAAUACCGGAUAUUAUGAGACCUCGGCAUCGAGGACUCAUGAAAGCUAUAUGCGCUGGAGGAGAACUUUGCGUCCCAUUAGGUAGUUGGUAGGGUAAUGGCCUACCAAGCCGACGAUGGGUAGCCGGCCUGAGAGGGUGAACGGCCACAAGGGGACUGAGACACGGCCCUUACUCCUNACGGGAGGCAGCAGUGGGGAAUAUUGGACAAUGGGCCAAAAGUCUGAUCCAGCAAUUCUGUGUGCACGAUGAAGGUCUUCGGAUUGUAAAGUGCUUUCAGGUGGGAAGAAGAAAGUGACGGUACCACCAGAAGAAGCGACGCUAAAU